This 253-nucleotide ribosomal RNA is filed under the name uncultured bacterium. RNAcentral describes it as "partial 16S ribosomal RNA". It matches the Rfam family "Bacterial small subunit ribosomal RNA", at positions 524 to 776 of the family's 1533-position model. The record is from RNAcentral.
UACGUAGGGUGCAGGCGUUAAUCGGAAUUACUGGGCGUAAAGCGUGCGCAGGCGGUUUGCUAAGACAGGUGUGAAAUCCCCGGGCUUAACCUGGGACCUGCAUUUGUGACUGCAUCGCUAGAGUACGGCAGAGGGGGAUGGAAUUCCGCGUGUAGCAGUGAAAUGCGUAGAUAUGCGGAGGAACACCGAUGGCGAAGGCAAUCCCCUGGGCCUGUACUGACGCUCAUGCACGAAAGCGUGGGGAGCAAACAGG